Rhododendron vialii is the source of this 108-nucleotide small nucleolar RNA. RefSeq annotates it as small nucleolar RNA snoR100. The record is from RefSeq and is a predicted model, not a curated record. The transcript has a single exon. Lineage: Eukaryota; Viridiplantae; Streptophyta; Magnoliopsida; Ericales; Ericaceae.
GAAUGAAGAAAGCAUGGUAAUGUGCACAAAAAUUAAUUUGGGUCUCUAGGCAUGUCCUCUCUGAUGCCUACCUGCUUUGAUUUGGGGGCAUGGUUCCACAGCAAAACG